This 71-nucleotide transfer RNA is filed under the name Planctomycetota bacterium. Its description in RNAcentral is "Planctomycetes bacterium tRNA-Cys". It matches the Rfam family "tRNA". From Rfam's summary of the family: Transfer RNA (tRNA) molecules are approximately 80 nucleotides in length. Their secondary structure includes four short double-helical elements and three loops (D, anti-codon, and T loops). The record is from RNAcentral. Lineage: Bacteria; Pseudomonadati; Planctomycetota.
GGCGCCGUAGCCAAGUGGUUAGGCAGCGGAUUGCAAAUCCGCGCACCCCGGUUCGAUUCCGGGCGGCGCCU